Molecule: long non-coding RNA, 206 nt
Filed under: Ricinus communis (castor bean)
Lineage: Eukaryota; Viridiplantae; Streptophyta; Magnoliopsida; Malpighiales; Euphorbiaceae
Description: long non-coding RNA (RCOM_LNC000859)
Source: RNAcentral
CCAAUUCACAAUAAAAGAGUGUGAGAACAAAAAGAGUAGGAGUGAAUGAAGUUGUAUAUAAUAAUGAGAUGGCUAUACAAAUAGCCGAAUUAACUAAACCAGUUAAGAUUCUUGCUUCAACUAAGAAUGUACAAAGCAAUGAGGUAUGCGGUAUAUGUGGUGUUUAUGGUCAUGGUGCUAAUGUUUGUUCGUCUUAUGAUACUUAU